Molecule: ribosomal RNA, 120 nt
Filed under: uncultured fungus
Lineage: Eukaryota; Fungi
Description: partial 5.8S ribosomal RNA
Rfam family: 5.8S ribosomal RNA
About the family: 5.8S ribosomal RNA (5.8S rRNA) is a component of the large subunit of the eukaryotic ribosome.
Source: RNAcentral
GCAUCGAUGAAGAACGCAGCAAAAUGCGAUAAGUAAUGUGAAUUGCAGAAUUCAGUGAAUCAUCGAAUCUUUGAACGCACAUUGCGCCCGCCAGUAUUCUGGCGGGCAUGCCUGUUCGAG